GAUGAACGCUGGCGGCGUGCCUAAUACAUGCAAGUCGAGCGAACGGACGAGAAGCUUGCUUCUCUGAUGUUAGCGGCGGACGGGUGAGUAACACGUGGAUAACCUACCUAUAAGACUGGGAUAACUUCGGGAAACCGGAGCUAAUACCGGAUAAUAUUUUGAACCGCAUGGUUCAAAAGUGAAAGACGGUCUUGCUGUCACUUAUAGAUGGAUCCGCGCGGCAUUAGCUAGUUGGUAAGGUAACGGCUUACCAAGGCAACGAUGCAUAGCCGACCUGAGAGGGUGAUCGGCCACACAGGAACUGAGACACGGUCCAGAGACCUACGGGAGGCAGCAGUAGGGAAUCUGCCGCAAUGGGCGAAAGCCUGACGGAGCAACGCGGCGUGAGUGAUGAAGGUCUUCGGAGCGUAAAACUCUGUUAUUAGGGAAGAACAGAUGUGUAAGUAACUGUGCACGUCUUGACGGUACCGAAUCAGAAAGCCACGGCUAACUACGU
RNAcentral lists this ribosomal RNA (496 nucleotides) under uncultured bacterium. Its description in RNAcentral is "partial 16S ribosomal RNA". It matches the Rfam family "Bacterial small subunit ribosomal RNA", at positions 28 to 506 of the family's 1533-position model. The record is from RNAcentral.